UGGUGACUAUAGCAAGGAGGUCACACCUGUUCCCAUGCCGAACACAGAAGUUAAGCUCCUUAGCGCUAGCUCAAUUGGUAGAGCAACUGACUUGUAAUCAGUAGGUUGGGGGUUCAAGUCCUCUGGCCGGCACCAUGGAAGAGCCAUUAGCUCAGUU
This 157-nucleotide ribosomal RNA is filed under the name Staphylococcus aureus. Lineage: Bacteria; Bacillati; Bacillota; Bacilli; Caryophanales; Staphylococcaceae. The record is from RNAcentral.